UAUGUUACAGUCCUGUUGGUUUGCUACAAUAAAGUGUCCGGAAGAUAAGUGUUACCUUGGUUACGUUGUAACCGUCUUCUAGGCCCGGUGUGGCUGCAGUGCCAUAAACCUCCGGGGAGCCCAUACAACGAUUUUCUUGCUAUGUGAAAGCAACCGAUUUGUCUAAAAAUGGGUGACAUUUUGGCAUACGAGGCCGAUUUACUUGGAUUAGUAAAAGAAUUUCUUAAUUACGGAGAAUUCCAUGAGACCCUCAAAAGCUUUUCAAAGGAGUGUAAGGUUAAAGGAAAACCAAUUCCCAGAAGUGAUGGCUCUGUCACAAGGGAUUCAAGGACUUUACUUAUACAG
Molecule: long non-coding RNA, 345 nt
Organism: Bufo gargarizans (Asiatic toad)
Lineage: Eukaryota; Metazoa; Chordata; Amphibia; Anura; Bufonidae
Exons: 3
Source: RefSeq, a predicted model, not a curated record